This is a long non-coding RNA of Neofelis nebulosa (Clouded leopard), 919 nucleotides long. RefSeq lists it as uncharacterized. The transcript has 3 exons. NCBI's taxonomy places the organism in Eukaryota, Metazoa, Chordata, Mammalia, Carnivora, Felidae. The record is from RefSeq and is a predicted model, not a curated record.
UCUCAACCUCAGUUACAUGUAAGAACGAGAAUGCAGAGAAUGAUCUAGGGUCUGAGGAGACAGCCCAAGCAGCCUCCGACCACUGAAAUCCUGAAGAUGUUUUCACCGGGAGGGGACAGGACAGGUGACACGGUCAGUCGGUCAGUGGCCACCUGCUGCAGGUGUUCUGAGAGGUGAAGACUCACACCCAAAUUGGAGAUGCUGUUGUGGAAGAGUGAUCGUCCCAGGAACCUACAGCGAAACAGGACAGUUUAGGGGGAGGAGACCUCCCUCUCCAGGUCUCAUAUCACAAGCGUCAGAGGGUGAAAUCGCGAUAUUAAUAUGAAUGUGACAUUUUACUAUGUCUCUUUACUUCCUUAUCUCUGCUACCAGCUGUGUGACCUUGAACAAGUUACCUCGUCUGUCUGCUCCUCAAUUUCUCCAGCUGUGAAAUGGGGUUAAGGAGAUGGCCUGUGGGGGGCUGUGGGGAGGACUCACUGAGUCUGUGCGCGUUAAGGACCUAGACCUACACCUUGCGAGAGUCAGGUCUCUGGCUGCGGACUUGCAUUCUUGUGCUGCUUUCACUGUUUUAACUGUUAAUGGAAGCCAGAGCUCCAUGUGUACCACCUCUGGUGCUGGGGGUGAGGAUCAAAGGCCCCUCACCCUCGAUCGAUGGCCAGAUUUUCACCAGACUUCUCAUCCGAACCCUCUCUCGUCCCAGACGUGGAAUCGCUCAGCCCCCAGCUUCCGCAGUCACUGUAAUGUGAGCUGGACGCCAUCCCCUCGGGCAGAUGGGUCCCAAAUGCCGUGUGGGGGCCACACAGUGACAUGGCGGUUCCUACUCCUCCACAGCGGCCUCUUCGAGGAAACAACCCGACCAUGUACACUGACAGAUUCUGGAAGGUUCUCCAGGGUCAGCUCCCACCGAAGAUUCCAGCAC